RNAcentral lists this unclassified non-coding RNA (22 nucleotides) under Mus musculus (house mouse). RNAcentral's name for it is "oocyte_clustered_small_RNA9903". Lineage: Eukaryota; Metazoa; Chordata; Mammalia; Rodentia; Muridae. The record is from RNAcentral.
AGGUGAACCAGUGUGUCAUUGG